This 373-nucleotide long non-coding RNA is filed under the name Brachypodium distachyon (stiff brome). RNAcentral's name for it is "long non-coding RNA (BDIS_LNC002832)". Lineage: Eukaryota; Viridiplantae; Streptophyta; Magnoliopsida; Poales; Poaceae. The record is from RNAcentral.
CACAUUUCCCAAACUUGCUCCAAAUUUGGGAGAGAUUUGGGACGUCCGGACAUUGUCCGGUGUUCUUUUUUGUCUGCCCCGGUCCCGCAACAAGAGUUGGGAAAGGAGAAGAAAAAGUGAAAAGACGAGGAGAAAGGAUAAAGAGAAGGAAAAGAUAAUUUGGGAGAGGAAUUUGGAGGAUGUGGUUGAGUGAUGAGGGUGGACAUGGAAAGGACACAUGUCCACUUGCUUCCCCAAAUGACAAAAAAAAGUCAUUUUGGAACAAAAUUUGGGAGAUCCCAUUAGAGUUGCUCUAAGCUCGUGAGAGAACCAAAGGUACGCGUCGGCGUCAAGUGGAGAGAUAAGCACCUACACCUGCAUCCACGUGGUUGAA